AGCGGCCGCGAAUUGCCCUUGGGGGUGCCCGCCGCUUCCUUUAUUUUUCAUUCUUGAAACUGUGCUCCGGUCGUCCCGAGUGCCGACCGCUGAGGUUGGCUUUUACCCCGUCUAUAACGCUGGGGGAAUAAGGAUAGGGCAAGUCUGGUGUCAGCACGUCCCCGGUAAUACCAGCUCUCCUAGUGCGCGUGGACGUUUAUUGUGCCUAACGCAGUCCGUAUCUGGCUGAACAACUCCCCUGUUAAACCCCCCCAUUUAAUCGUUGGACUGCGGGGGAUACUGCUCAGCUAGGGGACCAUAUAGGCAUACGGUAUUCCCGGGGUACGGGUGAAAUCCUAUAAUCCCCAGAAGACCUCCACUGACGAACGCUGUCUGCUAGAACGCGCCCGAUAGUGACGGAUGAAAGCUGGGAGGACCCAACCGAGAUUAUAUACCCGGGUAGUCCCGACUGUAAGCUAGGCCUACUAUGUGUUUGGACGGUCUCUUGCCGUUCUAAUGACCCCCGCAACCUGUAAAAUUUGCCAUUCUGGUGAGUACGAUCUCAAGAUUGAAACUUAGUAUGACUUGUCGGGGGACCCG
RNAcentral lists this ribosomal RNA (579 nucleotides) under uncultured archaeon. RNAcentral's name for it is "bacterial SSU rRNA". It matches the Rfam family "Archaeal small subunit ribosomal RNA", at positions 334 to 879 of the family's 1478-position model. The record is from RNAcentral.